Molecule: unclassified non-coding RNA, 248 nt
Filed under: Helicoverpa zea (corn earworm)
Lineage: Eukaryota; Metazoa; Arthropoda; Insecta; Lepidoptera; Noctuidae
Description: uncharacterized LOC124635812, transcript variant X1
Source: RNAcentral
CUUCCGACGGUGCUUGCAACACUUGCAUAUGUCUGCACGGCCGAAAGAUCUGCACUAUGACACAUUGCACUGACAGAACUGCAGACUGGACAACCCGUCUUGCUGCUGCUCACAACCGUAAUGCCGCAUGUCCCAAAGGUACCUUCAUCCACAACCCGAACCAGCCCUGCAGUAUAUGUCUUUGUGGCGGCAACGAUCCAGGGUCCCACAAUAUGUGCUUCACAGAUGCCAAGUGUGUCAAACAAGUC